GCGGGUGGCGUAGUGGUUAGUGCUACUGUCUCACACUCAGAAGACCUGGGUUUAAAUCCCACCGCCUGCU
RNAcentral lists this transfer RNA (70 nucleotides) under Scleropages formosus (Asian bonytongue). It matches the Rfam family "tRNA". From Rfam's summary of the family: Transfer RNA (tRNA) molecules are approximately 80 nucleotides in length. Their secondary structure includes four short double-helical elements and three loops (D, anti-codon, and T loops). The record is from Rfam by way of RNAcentral. Lineage: Eukaryota; Metazoa; Chordata; Actinopteri; Osteoglossiformes; Osteoglossidae.